CACGUAGGGGCCAAGCGUUGUCCGGAUUUAUUGGGCGUAAAGGGCGCGUAGGCGGUCGUGACAAGUCACUUGUGAAAUCUCCGGGCUUAACUCGGAACGGUCAAGUGAUACUGUCGGACUAGAGUACAGAAGGGCAACUGGAAUUCUCGGUGUAGCGGUGAAAUGCGUAGAUAUCGAGAGGAACACCUGCGGCGAAGGCGGUUGCUGGCUGAUACUGACGCUGAGGCGCGAAAGCCAGGGAGCGAACGGG
RNAcentral lists this ribosomal RNA (250 nucleotides) under uncultured bacterium. RNAcentral describes it as "partial 16S ribosomal RNA". It matches the Rfam family "Bacterial small subunit ribosomal RNA", at positions 524 to 776 of the family's 1533-position model. The record is from RNAcentral.